Molecule: long non-coding RNA, 1222 nt
Organism: Bubalus bubalis (water buffalo)
Lineage: Eukaryota; Metazoa; Chordata; Mammalia; Artiodactyla; Bovidae
Exons: 6
Source: RefSeq, a predicted model, not a curated record
UCAAGGUAGAAGCCUGCUCUCUCCGGGGGAAAUCCCACUUACUUUGCUGUGAAGCAAUGAGAAGCUCUCAGAUUAACUGUUCCCUCUCAGUGUCAGGUGUCUUCUAGAAAAACAGGUUGUUUUUCAGAGUGCUUCCUGGCCCAGCUCCUGGGUGACCUCGGACACACAGGAACCAAGUCCUGCAGUGAAAAGCAGUUUGGGUAAAAUGCAGAAGACAUUUGGGAAUGAAAGCGUCUGUUGGUGAAGAUCUGAAUCUUACUUUAUGGAAAGGAGGUUAAUUUUCCUCAUACUUACGACUUUGACACUUACACAUCUUUCAGCUAUUUUAGACAUCUAUUCCUGUUAAAGGAUGCACUGGCCCUAUUUUUGGAAGCCGGAUGACGCAGACGAAAGAUCAUGCCUUCAGCAAGGAUCUUUGAUCUUCUACAAGCGUGGCACCCAUUCAUUAUUUUAUUUAUAUGACCUCCUUCUCAACAUUCCUCUUCACACAUACUCUGUGAACAACUCUGUUAUUCCAUAAGAAUUGCCUGAGUCUUCACAGAAAGAUCUCGAGUUAAGCAGAGACGGCAAACUGUUCCAGGAAAGUUCUCAUCACUUUGUCUCUGGAAUAUUGAUUCCCCCUUGUCACUUGCUAAAGAGCCAGAUUUCUUGAGAGAGUCUGAGCAGGCAACUGCAGUUAGAAAUUAGUGCAGAUAUCAUUUUAAGGUCAUUUGAAUAUCCUUGUAAAGGAGAAGUUAUCCAGGUAGAUCACUGUCUUGGGAGAAGGAAAAUAAAAUGAUCUUGAUAGUCACGUGGGAAAGAGGCAGGAAAUAGACAAUAAUUCAGUAGAAUUCUUUAAAUGUGAUUCUGGUUGUUGUAUUGCUGGAAAACGGCAACUCGGCAAUGACUUAAAAGAGUCAGUACUUUGGAAACUUGAUUGUAUUGAUUGCACUUUCUUUGAUUGUAUCCCCUAGUAAUUUAACCAAGAGAUGCUCCACUUGCUCACUGUGCGAAGACAAAGUACCAGAGCUGAGAACCAAAUGAUGUGAUUAUCACAAGAAGCAAGGGAUCAGGGCAGUGGUCCAAGAAGAAGGUAGAAUCUUGCCAGAGAAGAAAGAUACUUCUAAAAUCAAUAGAUUGAUGAUUCACUCUGCAGCCAAGCUCUGCUGGGAAGUAAGAGAUAAAUACGCAUUUGUGAGAAUCAGAAUGCAAGUUAAAAAUAUCUGCAAAGCAGAGAACACUG